CCUACGGGGGGCAGCAGUGGGGGAUAUUGCACAAUGGGGGAAACCCUGAUGCAGCGACGCCGCGUGUGGGAAGACGGUCCUCUGGAUUGUAAACUACUGUCCCCAGGGACGAAGAUGACGGAACCUGGGGAGGAAGCUCCGGCUAACUACGUGCCAGCAGCCGGGUUAAAACGGAGGGAGCGAGCGUUGUCGGAAUUACCUGGUGGUAAGGGGAGCGUAGGCGGGACGGCAGGUCGGUGGUAAAAUCUACAGGUUAAACCGGGGGCUGCAUUAGAAACUGCUGUUCUUGAGUGCAGUAGAGGCAGGCGGAAUUCCUAGUGUAGCGGUGAAAUGCGUAGAUAUUAGGAGGAACACCAGGGGCGAAGGCGGCCUGCUGGGCUUUUACUGACGCUGAGGCUCGAAAGUGUGGGGAGCAAACAGGAUUAGAUACCCUAGUAGUC
RNAcentral lists this ribosomal RNA (440 nucleotides) under uncultured bacterium. RNAcentral describes it as "partial 16S ribosomal RNA". It matches the Rfam family "Bacterial small subunit ribosomal RNA", at positions 338 to 795 of the family's 1533-position model. The record is from RNAcentral.